GGCUCAGGGUGAACGCUAGCGGCAGGCCUAACACAUGCAAGUCGCGGGGCAGCACGGGUAGCAAUACCGUGGUGGCGACCGGCGCACGGGUGCGUAACGCGUAUGCAACCUGCCCCCAUCAGGGGAAUAGCCCGCCGAAAGGCGGAUUAAUGCCCCAUAGGCCCAGGGCGCCGCAUGGCGCUAUGGGUAAAGCUCCGGCGGAUGGGGAUGGGCAUGCGUGCCAUUAGCUAGUUGGGGCGGUAACGGCGCACCAAGGCGACGAUGGCUAGGGGGUCUGAGAGGAUGGUCCCCCACACUGGUACUGAGACACGGACCAGACUCCUACGGGAGGCAGCAGUGAGGAAUAUUGGUCAAUGGGCGGAAGCCUGAACCAGCCAUUGCCGCGUGCAGGAUGACGGCCCUACGGGUUGUAAACUGCUUUUCCCCGGGAAGAAUAAGCCCCUCGUGAGGGGUGAUGUCGGUACCGGGGGAAUAAGGAUCGGCUAACUCCGUGCCAGCCGCAGC
RNAcentral lists this ribosomal RNA (504 nucleotides) under uncultured bacterium. RNAcentral's name for it is "bacterial SSU rRNA". It matches the Rfam family "Bacterial small subunit ribosomal RNA", at positions 21 to 518 of the family's 1533-position model. The record is from RNAcentral.